GAUGAACGCUGGCGGCGUGCCUAAUACAUGCAAGUCGAGCGAACAGAUGAGGUGCUUGCUCCUCUGACGUUAGCGGCGGACGGGUGAGUAACACGUGGAUAACCUACCUCUCAGACUGGGAUAACUUCGGGAAACCGGAGCUAAUACCGGAUAAUAUAUUGAACCGCAUGGUUCAAUAGUGAAAGACGGUUUUGCUGUCACUUAUAGAUGGAUCCGCGCCGCAUUAGCUAGUUGGUAAGGUAACGGCGUACCAAGGCAACGAUGCGUAGCCGACCUGAGAGGGGGAUCGACGGCACUGGAACGGAGGCGAGGCCCAGACGCCUACGGGGGGAGGCAGCAGGGAAGCUUACGCAGAGGGCGAAAGCAGGAUGGAGCAACGCCGCGGGAGGGAUGAUGGUGUUCGGAGCGUAAAACUCUGUUAUUAGGGAAGAAGAAAUGUGUAAGUAACUAUGCACGUCUUGACGGUACCUAGUCAGAAAGCCACGGCUAACUACGUG
This 497-nucleotide ribosomal RNA is filed under the name uncultured bacterium. RNAcentral describes it as "partial 16S ribosomal RNA". It matches the Rfam family "Bacterial small subunit ribosomal RNA", at positions 28 to 507 of the family's 1533-position model. The record is from RNAcentral.